AUNUCAAUAAGCGGAGGAAAGGAAACUAACAAGGAUUCCCCUAGUAACUGCGAGUGAAGCGGGAAAAGCUCAAAUUUGAAAUCUGGCAGUCUUUUUUUUCUUCUUUGGCUGUCCGAGUUGUAAUCUAGAGAAGUGCUUACCUGCGCUGGACCAUGUAUAAGUCUCCUGGAAUGGAGCGUCGCAGAGGGUGAGAAUCCCGUCUUUGACAUGGACUGCCAGCGUGUUGUGGUGUGCUCUCAAAGAGUCGAGUUGUUUGGGAAUGCAGCUCUAAACGGGUGGUAAACUCCAUCUAAAGCUAAACAUUGGCGAGAGACCGAUAGCGAACAAGUACCGUGAGGGAAAGAUGAAAAGGACUUUGGAAAGAGAGUUAAACAGUAUGUGAAAUUGUUGAAAGGGAAACGCUUGGAGUCAGUCGUGUUGGCUGGGGAUCAACCUAGCUGUUUUGCUGGGUGAUUUUCCUAGUCCGACAGGCCAACAUCAGUCUUGGCUGCUGGAAAAGAGCGGGGGGAAUGUGGCACCUUUGGGUGUGUUUAUAGCCCUUUGUCAUAUGCAGCAGUCGGGACUGAGGGAUGCAGCGUGCCGCGAGGCUGGGUUUCGACCAYGUUCACGCUUGGGAUGUUGGCUUUUAAUGGCUUCAAUCGACCCGUCUUGAAACACGGACCAAGGAGUCUAACAUGCCUGCGAGUGUUUGGGUGGGGAAAACCCUUGUGCACAAUGAAAGUGAAAGUUGAGAUCCCUGUCGUGGGGAGCAUCGACGCCCGGACCUGAGCUUUCAGCGAUGGAUCCGCGGUAGAGCAUGCAUGUUGGGACCCGAAAGAUGGUGAACUAUGCCUGAAUAGGGCAAAGCCAGAGGAAACUCUGGUGGAGGCUCGUAGCGAUUCUGACGUGCAAAUCGAUCGUCAAAUUUGGGUAUAGGGGCGAAAGACUAAUCGAACCAUCUAGUAGCUGGUUCCUGCC
This 957-nucleotide ribosomal RNA is filed under the name Amanita magnivolvata. RNAcentral describes it as "LSU rRNA". It matches the Rfam family "Eukaryotic large subunit ribosomal RNA", at positions 40 to 962 of the family's 3401-position model. Lineage: Eukaryota; Fungi; Basidiomycota; Agaricomycetes; Agaricales; Amanitaceae. The record is from RNAcentral.